GUGGGUGAUUGUUUGUCUAUAUUGGGGACACACUUUGGUAAGUUAGUAGUGUCCCCACUUUGAGUCAGCAGUAUGGGAAAUGUGAGUUCAGGUCCUGAGUGACCAUAUAUGUAUGUAUAUAUGUAUGUAUGUAUAUAUGUGUGUGUAUAUGUAUAUGUAUGUAUAUAUAAGAUAGCAGUACUGUUAAACAAAUGGAGGUUUUAAAAAUACAUAGGGAUUAAGGAGAGAAUGCAGGUAACUUG
Non-coding RNA from Pelobates cultripes (western spadefoot toad), 242 nucleotides. The record is from the annotation of a GenBank genome assembly. Lineage: Eukaryota; Metazoa; Chordata; Amphibia; Anura; Pelobatidae.